Molecule: long non-coding RNA, 601 nt
Organism: Drosophila ficusphila
Lineage: Eukaryota; Metazoa; Arthropoda; Insecta; Diptera; Drosophilidae
Exons: 2
Source: RefSeq, a predicted model, not a curated record
UCAAAAUCGGUGCUCCAUUCAAUGGAACUCCAUUCCAUUCGUUGGGGACUCUGAGCUUUUUCACGCUACAUUUAAUGCUUUCCAUUUUAUUUGCCACACAAUUCAGGAAAAGUUCGCGGCAGCUGCAGCAUAUGGCGCUCGCUGGGGGGCCAUAAUUGAGUAUUGACCAAACAGCAGACGACAACAAAAUGCGGGGGCUGUCGUGACCGACGGCAAUUCCCGCUGAAUGUUCCGAACCGAAAUAGCUCCCCCUUGCACUCGACACCCAACGAAUAUAAAUGCUGGAAUAUAUAAAUACACGUUCUAUAAUGGCGGAUGGAGGAAUGGAGGAGCCCAGCGCUCGUCAUAAACUGUUAAUCGGGCAAUUAAGACCGGGCUUAGAGCUCCUGUGUUCGAAAUUGAAGUGGCCAAAGCCCAAAGUUGACCAGCUACCAGCCGCACGGAGAAUCCGCAAAUCCGAGCUCAGCCUUUGAGUGGAGAGCAAUCAGGUUAAGUGUUGAACGCUUCCUGCGACUCCUUGUUUGGAGCUGCGACAGUGGGAUGAGCUCGAUAAAUAAUAAAUACCAUGAAUAAAAGUGUCCUGUGGAUACUUUUUAGAAUA